RNAcentral lists this non-coding RNA (19 nucleotides) under Arabidopsis thaliana (thale cress). The record is from RNAcentral. Lineage: Eukaryota; Viridiplantae; Streptophyta; Magnoliopsida; Brassicales; Brassicaceae.
UGCCUUAUGGUAGGUUGUU